CAUGCUAUCAUCAACACAUUCCAUGGAUUCCAGGUGACAGGUGAGCAAUGGCAUGUGGAAUCCUGGAGGACUUUGACAUAUCUGCUGAAUAUAACAGAGAAGGGUUCAUCAGUUGACAUAGUGCAGCCACUAUCCAUCAGUGAUCUGCUAGGAAGUGUGGACCUCACCAAGUUCUACCGCUACCAGGGUUCUCUGACCACCCCCACCUGUGAUGAAAUGGACCAUGUUCUUAGAGCCAAUCAAGAUGUGGAGAGAUCUAGUGAGUGGUAACCUAACAUAGCAGGCAUAAAAGAAAAGCCUGAGCGGAGCUGGAAGAAACAGGAAGCAUCCGGUUUGAGUCUUCACCUCUGCUUCCUGAAAAACGUAUGCUUACGGUUUCCUACAACCUCGCUGAGGGUGGAGCUGUUUUCCUAAAACCCUGAAGUACAGAAACAUCUCCAGGCCAGUGCAACACUUCCCCGGGUUGUCAGUGUCCCCACGCAGCGGCCAGACUUCCAGCAGGAGGGCUCUUGUCCGGCCUACAACUACUACUACUGGGCUGGGGGUGAGGCUGGACACCCAGGGGGAGGCGUUGGUACGCAGAAAUAAGGGGUGGAGCGAAAGCAGGAGGGGGAAAAAGGAAGAGGGUGGGGGAAAAUAAGUUGAAGUGUGUGUGAUGUUCAAGGCAGGUCAAUUUCAGCUGAUUUCUGUCAAUAAUAAAUAUUCUGUAUGUUCCCUC
Molecule: long non-coding RNA, 718 nt
Organism: Oncorhynchus kisutch (coho salmon)
Lineage: Eukaryota; Metazoa; Chordata; Actinopteri; Salmoniformes; Salmonidae
Exons: 3
Source: RefSeq, a predicted model, not a curated record